RNAcentral lists this ribosomal RNA (690 nucleotides) under Triticum aestivum (bread wheat). RNAcentral's name for it is "partial small subunit ribosomal RNA". Lineage: Eukaryota; Viridiplantae; Streptophyta; Magnoliopsida; Poales; Poaceae. The record is from RNAcentral.
CAGCAUGUCCGCAAAGCAGAGAGGGAGAACGAGAAGCAUAACCGCCUCAAUGAUCUCUUCGGUGAGCAUGGCAAAAUGCUAGAAGCGGAUAGGCAGAGCAAUGGGAAAGCAUGUAUAUUGAAUGACACCACUCGGAUACUUCGACAUCUGCUUUCGCAAUUAGAGUCUCACCGAAUGGAGAAUAGCACCCUGCAGAAUGAAUCUCAUUAUGUUACAAUGCAGAGGAAUGAGCUGCAGGAUGAGAACAGUCGCUCUGCAAUUCUGGAGCUCCAAAAUGAUCUGAUGAUACGGGUCGCGGGAAAACCAGGUUGGGGCCAUUGUACCGCUGGGUCGCCUCACCCUUUUUCUCACACUGGCGGCACCGUUUUUCCAGCACAGCCACCGACUGUCACAAGCACAAUAUUCCCCUUUCAGCAGCCAAUAGUCAUGGAGCGCUCUUAUGCAGCACCACCACGGGAACUUAAGCUCUUCCCAGACGAGGCGUCUGAUAUCGAAGGCCUUGAACCAUCACAAGACCACCGGUAGGGCCCCAACCAUUACCAUGUUGCCCGACCGCAGGCAAGGUACCCAACACAGUCAGCCUCGUGGCUUGUAAGCCUGGGCCUGCAGAAGAUGGAAGAUGAACAAUGUAGCAGUAGCACAACCCGUAGUAGUAAGGAAAGUAGUAGCUCUGCCUCUGAUAGAGAUUGA